RNAcentral lists this ribosomal RNA (259 nucleotides) under uncultured prokaryote. Its description in RNAcentral is "partial 16S ribosomal RNA". It matches the Rfam family "Bacterial small subunit ribosomal RNA", at positions 524 to 782 of the family's 1533-position model. The record is from RNAcentral.
UACGUAGGGUGCGAGCGUUGUCCGGAAUUAUUGGGCGUAAAGAGCUUGUAGGCGGUUUGUCGCGUCUGCUGUGAAAAUCCGGGGCUCAACCCAGGACUUGCAGUGGGUACGGGCAGACUAGAGUGUGGUAGGGGAGACUGGAAUUCCUGGUGUAGCGGUGAAAUGCGCAGAUAUCAGGAGGAACACCGAUGGCGAAGGCAGGUCUCUGGGCCACUACUGACGCUGAGAAGCGAAGGCAUGGGGAGCGAACAGGAUUAGA